CGGUACGGACCACACAGUACGUUUUGCCAAAUGGCAGGACAAAACUAGGGGUCGGAUCUCAGUCACCCCCAUUCAUUUCAAAACCCCGGGGAUCUCUCCCUCCACCAUAGCCGUUUAACAUAAUGCUCUUCCUUCCGUUUACCCUUUUCGAUUUUUUGUUAACAAAAAACGAAAGCGCAUGAUCACACUGCUUCGCUCUAAACACUACAAUUUCCAAUUCCAAAUCAGUGUUAAACCAACACUUACAAAUACGGUUCUUUACUUCAAAGCUGUAUCCAAUAGGGUGACGAAACCACCGGAAAAUCUCUCCACUGUGAGAUUAUAAAGAAGGGAAAUUUCUUAGACUUGCUUGCGAACAGCGUUCUUUAAUUUUUGUAUGUAAAAUACGACUCAUAGGUUGAUGCAGCUAUGGUGUUCGAUGAAAUGCCUGAUGAUAUACGGUGUCGUUUGUUACUUUGAUUCAAGGUUAUAAUCAGCGUUUUAGAUCUUACGAUGCUAUCUGGUUGUUUUCUAGGUUUCAUGGAGAAGGUCAUGAGCUUAACCCUUUUGUUUUUAGUACUGUUUUGAAGUUGCUUGUUAUUGCUGAGUGUACUGAAUCGGGGUUUAGUGCCAAUGCUUGUGUUUGUAAGCUUGCGCCUUUGGGGUUACUGCUUUGAUUGAUGGUAACUUGUUAUGCGGAGAAUGAGUGCUUUGAAGAGUCUUUGAAGCAUUUUUUUUUUCUGCAGAUGAGAGUUGUUGGGUUUAAACCAAGUAAUUUUAUUUUUGCGAGUAUGUUGAAGGCUUGUGUUGGGUUGGAGGUGUUUGAUGUUGGAAAGGCUGUACAUGGACAUGCUUUUAAAACAUCUUAUGUGGAAGAACUUUUUUUCGGUGUUGAAUUGAUGGACUUGUAUAUUAAUUCUGGAGAUGUUGAUGAUGCUUUACGUGUGUUUGAACAGAUGCCUAAAGGUGAUUCCAUGGAGUUUUAUGAUCGCCCAGUAUCCUCUAAGCCAGCAUAGUGAAGAGACCAUUGCGUUGUUCUGCAAGAUGAGGCAAGGUUUGGUGCUUCCUAAUCAGAUUACGCUUGCUAGUUUGCUGCAAGCAUUUGCGAGCUUGGUGGAUUUGCAAUUCGGGAAGCAAAUCCAUUACCAUAUAGUUAAAUGUUGGUUUAGAUACAAAUGUAUUUGUAUCCAAAUGCUCUAAUGGACAUGCAUGCAAAAUGUGGAAGAAUGGAGAACUCAAUGCAACUGUUUCUGGAAUCUCGAAAUUGUACUGAUAUGAGUUGGAAUAGGGUGAUUGAUGGCUAUGUGCAGGCUGGCAAUGGUAAGAGAUAUGCUUGAAUGCCAAGUUCAGGGAUCGGAAGUGACAUACUCUAUUGUGCUCCAUGCAUGUUCUGGUAUUGCUGCCAUGGAACCAGACAGACAGUCAUUCAUUGCUAGUGAAAACUAUUUAUGACAAGAACACUGUGGUUGGAAAUGCUUUGAUAGAUAUGCAUGCCAAGUGUGGAAGCAUUAGAGAUGCACGUUUAGUGUUUAACAUGCUAAGGGAAUGUGAUCAAGUGUCAUGGAGUGCUAUGAUUGCAGGAUAUUCUGUGCACGGGCUAUGUAGGGAAGCUCUCAAAGCUUUUGAAUUAAUGCAGGAAACAGAGUGUAAACCAGACAAGGUAACUUUUGUUGGUAUCCGGUCAGCAUGUAGCAAUGCAGGACUUUUCGAUAGAGGACAAGCUUAUUUUAAAUCUAUCAUAAAAGAUUAUGGCAUUGAACCAUGCGCAGAGCACUACAUGUAUGGUUUGGAUUUUUGGGAGAUUGGGUCAUCUUGAUAAGACUGUUAAGUUGGUCAAGGAAAUCCCAUUUGAGCCUAGUGUUAUGGUGUGGCGGUCCUUACUCAGCGCUUGUGUCGUUCAUAUGAUGUUGAACUUGGAAGAAUCUCUGCCCAGUGUGUUCUUGAGAUAGAACCAGAAGAUAAGGCAACAUAUGCAUCAUUGUCAAACAAAUAUGCUAUUGCAAGGAAGUGGGGAAAUGUGGCUUCCAUUAGAAGAAGCAUGAAAAGGAAAGGAGUCACGAAAGAACCGGGCCUAAGUUGGAUUGUGAACCACAGUGGGGUUUCAUUAUUUCUCUUUAGGAGACAUUUCACAUCCUCACACAAAAUGAUUAAGGGGAUGCUGAAGUGGUUGAACAUGAAAGCCUGGAAUGAAGGUCAUGUUCCUGAUUAUCUGAUGUGGACGAUGUUGAUAAGGAACAGUGGUUGUGGGUCCACUGUGAAAGACUAGCUUUAGCAUAUGGUCUAAUUAGAAUUCCAUCCAUAUGCCAUGUUCACAUUAUAAAGAAUCUCCGUCUAUGUGCUGGCAGUCAUACUGCAAUAAAAUAAAUGUCAAAGAUUGUGCGCUGAGAUAUCAUUAUCAGAGAUAGGAACCAUUUCCAUCAUUUUCAGGAGGGGAUUUACUCUUGUGUCGGCUAUUGGUGAUUGACUUGCAAAUAUAGAUUUUGAUUUUUUUUGGAGCUAGAAUUUACAUCGCUUUGAUAAAGUUCCUUAUCAUGUUGGUUCGCAUAUUAGGAGGAGGACUAAACUUUCUGCUUUAUAGCCAUGAAAGCAAAUCCAUAAUAAUUUAUGUCCGUUCACUGUUAAACUCUGACCACUAAAAUGCAGUUGUGCAUCAGCCAUAUGUCAGCUCAGAUGCAAAAGCUUCGGUAUUCACAAAGGAUGGAUUCUUGCCCCUAGAAAAUGAAGUGUGCGAGGUUUGGAGGUAUGGCUCUAUAAAGACCUGUUAAUAUAUUAAUUGAUCUUCUUGAAGUGGUGUUUUUUAAUUUGGUUUAGGAUAGUUAGGAACUUCUGAACUCUGUAUUGAGUGAUUGAUUUGAUGCAUCCCCAAUUAUUCACAACUGCUGGACAAAUUUAUUGCCUUUGAGAAGGACGUGGCUUUAUAACAGAUGCACGUGUUUAAGAAAAGUGCUUGACGGUUCCUCUUGGAUUUUCUUGCUGAUCAUCCUAUUUUGACUAGUCUAGCUGAUGAAAGUGCCUCUCAACUGUCUUUGCUGAGGGACUGUAUACUUACACAAACACUUUAAACUUGCACAAGGGUUUCAUUAGGGUACUGUACCACUUUCCUUGUUGAGUUGAUUUUGGGCCAUAAAAACGAGAAGAAAAAGAAGUAUUAUCACUAAGCAAGUUUCGUGGAUGGAGAUAUUUAAUCAUUCUUGUGGUUGGGAUUUAUAUGUAUACAAUAAUAAGUUUUUAUUGAAGCUUUUGGACUCAGAUUGCCUCUCAUUUUUGUUCAAACAUAAUAAAGUUGGUUUCAAAGCACAGCCUUUGAUGGUCUUUUCCAAAGCAGCUAUGACAAUUUGCAACUAGAGUUUUUUCUUCCAAACUUUUGUUACAUAAAUAUGUUACCAUGGAUCAUCCAUGUUUUAUGUUGGUUGAAUCAUCUACUUUUGAUUAUUGAAGUUGUCCUGGAGAGACUUGGUUGAAUUAAGUCAUUGUUUAUUUUAUGCAAUAAACAAAAAUGAAGAAAUUCAUUCCCCAGCACUGGUAUGCGUGUGGGCAUAUUUAUGAAUUAAACAGUUAUGGCCCAUAUGAGUAUUGAAGGGAAAAAAGAAGAAUAAGAAUGUGAAUAACUCUCUUACGCUAUGGAACUUUACUGAUUAUGGUUUUUACUAUUUCUUAGAUAUUCUCUAUUUCUUGCAGACUUCUUGCCUUUUUUUUUCCACUUUUCUAAAGAGGUUAUCGCUACCAAGUUGGAAGAAAUAGAAAGGGAUGAGAAAGUCAGAUUUAAAUGGUUUAAAGGGGAGACGUGCGUGCUGUUAAAAUCAAGAAAAGUAGAGAAGAUGUAAGUCUGUAGAUUUUUUUUUUUUUUUG
This is a long non-coding RNA of Populus euphratica (Euphrates poplar), 3828 nucleotides long. RefSeq lists it as uncharacterized. Lineage: Eukaryota; Viridiplantae; Streptophyta; Magnoliopsida; Malpighiales; Salicaceae. The transcript has 3 exons. The record is from RefSeq and is a predicted model, not a curated record.